This 103-nucleotide non-coding RNA is filed under the name Dysosmobacter welbionis. Its description in RNAcentral is "THF riboswitch". It matches the Rfam family "THF (Tetrahydrofolate) riboswitch aptamer". Rfam says of the family: THF riboswitch presents a pseudoknot that joins P1-P2 and the loop of P3 and two THF binding. Lineage: Bacteria; Bacillati; Bacillota; Clostridia; Eubacteriales; Oscillospiraceae. The record is from RNAcentral.
GCAGAGUAGGGACAUACGUGUACAUCCAGUGCUGGAGAGACGGGGAGUUGCUCUUCGGACGAAAGGACCGCGAGUCCGCAGUGUGUGUCCCGCAUCCCGCUGC